Pseudopipra pipra is the source of this 1848-nucleotide long non-coding RNA. RefSeq lists it as uncharacterized. The transcript is spliced from 2 exons. The record is from RefSeq and is a predicted model, not a curated record. Lineage: Eukaryota; Metazoa; Chordata; Aves; Passeriformes; Pipridae.
GGUUUGGGAAAAUCACGUGAAAUUCUAAAAAGCUUCUCUCCGUGUUUUCUAGUUGUUUUUUCAGCCUUGGUCUAAGUUUCCUGUAGAAAAGGGCAUAGAAUUAUUAGAACAGACAAACUAGGCUUUCUCGGGAGAGAUGGAAGAAAAGUCUGCUGAUUGCAGUUCUGCUUUUCUUGUCUUCCCUUCGACUGUCAUUUUCUCUCCCCUGCUGUUCAAAUAGGCAGCAAUUAAUUGCUCUGCUGAAGAGUUUGCUGUACUAAGUGUCUGUCAAAUGGAUGCCUUCAACUCAAGAUAGCACCUGCUCCUUAGUUACAAAAAGUUCCUCACAGGAAAUUUUCAGGCGUGCCCAUAAAUCUCCUCGCUGUUUGUUUGGGAGAACAGGGUUUUCUCGUCUGUAACAGAAUAGUCAUGGCAUUUGCUAUGGAAUGCUGGUGGCAAUCUAGUCAGAAGAGGACGCCGUGCUUCACUAAUUUUCCCUUUUUGUUGUUGGGGGUGACUUCUUCCCAGGGAUGUUAUUCUUGACCCCCCGGGGCAAACGGAGGUGUUCACCUGGUCAGCGUCAGGAGCCAUCCUACCUGAGGCCCUGGCUCCCUCUUUCCCUUCGGUUGCCGUGGAUGUGCCGGACACCUCUGGCAGGACUAACCCUGUGGCUUUUAUGUCCAACGUGCUGUGUGCCUGCAGGUAAGAAAAGCUGGGAGUGCAGUCCCUCUGCUUUGCUUGCUGUGUCUCUUGGGUAGUGAUUUUGGAGGGGAAUCCCAGAGCGAUUUGGUUUGAAGGGGACCUUCAAAGGCCACCCUGUCUUCCGUGGGCAGGGACACCUUCCCCUCUCAUCCCCGGUUGCUCCAAGUCCCGUCCAGCCUGGCCUGGAACACUUGCAGGGAUCCAGGGGCAGCCUCAGCUUCCCUGUGCAGUGUGCUCUAAUAUCUCUCCACUGGCAUCCUGAAAAAUGUUGUCAGCGUGUUUUGUUGGACGACGGUAAGCGGGACCUGGGUGAAAAGGACAUUCUCUGAGGUGCUGGGAGAAGGAGGGCUCGUGCGGGCACCUCCAGAGACAGUGGGAACGGGAGCGUGCUGCAGAGAAGGAAAAUUCCAGGGGGUGGGUGCCAAGGAAUUUGUCCUUCCCUUGCUCUGUGCUCUGCACUUAGCAAUGGGUCAAGUGCAGAAGUUUCCUGGGGACCCUGGAAAAUGAUGCCGGGUCUGCUAAGAAAAGUGGGGCCAAAGGAGCAGGACCUGGGUCUGCGAGCGUGGGAGAAACAAGGGCCGGGUCAUCCUCUGCCUCCAGGAGGGAGGGCAGCAGGAAAGGCCACGGACUAAAGCACUGAAGUGCCGUUCCCCAGGGAGCCCCUGCCCAGCACUGAACUUGCUUGUGCACUUGCUGUCCCUUUGCCAGCGGAGCCGAAGCGUCGGGUGCGGGUGCCGGGGGGAUGGAGCUGCCAAGGACAAACUGGGAGGGUGUUUGCGAAGGAAGGGGGUAGAAGGAGCUCUUGACGUGCUUUUUUUACUUCUUCAUCCCACAGAAUUGCCACGAGAGGAAAUACUUCAGAGGGGCUUCCCUCCAGAUAAGCCCUGAAUGUGCCAGGAGGUUUCAGCCGGGAGAAAGGAGCUGUGGAAGAAAAGCAGCCUAAAAAUAGCCAGCGGGGAUCAUCAGGUUUUCCAGCCAAGAAAAACCAGGAGGGAGAUGAGGGAAUCGGGUUCCAAUUCCUAAAGAUUUGGUGGGUGUAGGAAUGAUUUCUGUGUGUUUUCCAGUCCCUUUUGAUUCCUGGGAUGAUUUUAAAAUGAUGGCUAAAUUGGAGAUGUUGUUUUUGAGAGGAAAUGAUGCCAAAUAAAUGCAAAGUUUGGGGUCAGUUUU